Molecule: long non-coding RNA, 7263 nt
Organism: Gallus gallus (chicken)
Lineage: Eukaryota; Metazoa; Chordata; Aves; Galliformes; Phasianidae
Source: Ensembl
GCAGCAAGUUAUGUGUGCCUGCGUGCCCGUGUUCUCCCGUGGCAUUUGGCAGCGGGAGCUGCUCCUGUCGGCUGACGUUGGCCUCGAAUAGCACUCAGCUCCCACCCAAAACAGUGUCUGCUUGGAGGGCAGCUCAUGUCCUCAGCUGAGAAAAACCGAGCCAGCACACACGCGGCAGAGCUCUCACGCACCUAUCGCACAAUAAAACAUAUUUGCAAGACAGUUAUUUUAAUAGCAAUAUGCCCUAUAUGGAGACACAUUAUGAUGAGCUCAAUCUCGGCGCUGCUGUGGCAAGCAGAGAGCACAGCCAUAAGCAGAGCGGGUCAGUACCUCUCCCCGGGCUGCGUGAUGACCCAGAGUGUUUUACUGGAGGUACACGCUUCGGUGUGAGGGCCUGUCCUCAGCGGGCUGCAGCCAGAGCUCCCCUCUUCUGCACUCAGUCCCCCUCAGCACGCACUUUCUCUUGAGUUUCUGUUUGUCUUUGUGCCAUUUUUCCUAUUUUAAAACAGUGCAUGAAAUCAAGUACAAAAAUUAAUGGGCGUGCAAUGAAGACUCCUAUGCAAAGUUAAAUUAAAAAAACAAAAACAUUGAAAAUUGAGUAUUUAGCCUCACUUCUGCCACGGGGUGAAGCGCCCAACACCACCAGUGUCAUAGUCGUAUAUUCCCUCUCAAAUAAUGCAACAGAGAAUGCAGUUUCUUCCACAUGUGGGGAAGAAUCUUCAUCCCCGCGUGCUUCAGCUUACAACGUUUAAAGCAGGCCCCAAAUGCACGUUCAAAAUGUAUCCUCACUGAACCAAAGCCUUCUUCAAAAACGUCUUUGUGUAAAAGGCGGCAGUGUUACGGAGUGCACUGUUGUGCACAUAAAACUCCGUGCCUUUUCUCAGCACUGCUUUCCUGGCGUGUUCAAUAGUCAUACAGUGGCUUACGAAGAAAUCAGUCGUAUGGCCAAUUCGCAUCUGCUGGAAUUAUUAAAUAAUUAAAAAUAAUAAAGCAUUCAGCCUAAAAAAUGACAAUUUAAAAUCAGUAAUAUUGAUGUGGCCGAGUUUCAUCCAUCCUGAAAGGGAAACAGCUUUGACAAGACCAUAUUUUUAAAUAAAAUGAGUGUGGUAUUAUUCUAUCAGGUCUCUUUAAUUCCAGCAUCAUAAAAAUGUGGUAUAUCUUUAUUGAUAGACUUUAGCUGGUGAAUUCUCUUCUCCGCAGCAUAUAUAUGUUAAUGAUUUUCUCAGCACUGACAUACAAUACGUUUAACCAGAUGAUUUUUCCCUUCAUUCGGAGUUACCUCUCCGAGCAGUAAUUUAGUGGGCAGUUCUCAAAUGACAUCCCUGAGAAAUACACACACUGCAUUUUGUUAAGAGCGUGUUUUAAUGAUAUCUUGCUUGACCAUGUUUCUUUUUUGUAGAAUUGUAAAUAAUUCCUACUCUUCUCCUCAUCCGCAGCUGAAGGGAUACUAAGACUGCAGGAUGCCACCAAGCCCAGAGCGUUUGUGAUCACAGGUGACUUUGCAACAGGUUUUUAGUGACAAAAGAAAGCAGAAAAUCCUUUCCUUUGCGACAAACCACAAAAGAGACCUGAAAUUCUGAAUGUAUAUAUACACAGAUAUGUAUUCUUAAGAUGUCAUAGGAGAGAGCAGGAGGUACCUGGAGCCAGAGCAUCCCCCACUGCCAGGAGCCGCAGGGGCACAGAAGUGCAGUGCGUGAACAGUCACAGCUGAUCUCAGCGCAUUGCAAAUGUCACUCUAGUCAGGCAGUGGAUGUGCUCUCUUUAAUGAUAUUACUGAACAGAUUACAUAAAUGAGUGAGAAUUUAUGUACAGAAUUUGCAUGUGUUUGCAACUGAUCUGAAACUUAUAAAUACAUUUCUGUAUUUAUACGCACAAGUAAAUUAAUAUUGAUUUCCAACCACCAAAAUGGCAUUCAAGUGCAUGUUUCCAGGUGCAAAGUAUUUAGCCAGAGAGCAAAGCAAGUGAAUUUGCAAUGAGAACAGUAAAACUGUGGAUGCAGCUCUGGAAAGAAUGAUUUGUAUUGUUUGGCAGCAGCGCUGGGAGGCUGCAGACAUUGCUGGUCUCUCCUGUGCAGGGCACUGCACAGUCACGCUGCAGAGGGCCUUGUCCCAGCAGCCACCAAUGAAACAAGUGCCUCGGCACAGUGGCACUGGUCUGGUUCCCCAGUGGGUGCUCGUUCCCUGCCCCAAAGAGCUUUAUUGUGCUGGGUGCACAGCUCAACUAAAUGGGUAGGCCAUUAAAGAUUUACAAGCCAUUGACACUAGCUGGCUCAGGGACGUUGCAGCUACUGCAAGUGCAGUGCCCACUCCUGCGCUGCUUCGUUUUCAGCCCCUGCACCUCAUUACUUCCCUGAAUGGCUGUCAUCUGCACACACUGAGCACCCUGCUCCUUCAUAUCCUACCCCCAGCCCCACCAUAGCCACAAAGGACCAUCUCCCUGGCUUCCCACCUUCCUGGCCUGCAUCCAUUCAUCCCCUUACCUGACCCAGCGCUGGUGCAGAGCUGAGGCUGCAGGCACCCCCCCACGCUGCCAUCUCACUGCGCCCCCGGCCCAGGUGUGCACAUUUGAGGCCUGGCGAGGGUGGGGAACAGAGGAGCUGAUGGGGCUGUGUGGCUGGAGACCAAACCUCUCUCCUCCGCACUGGGGAAGGCAGCGCUUUACCAAGGCUUUGAUUUUUAACCAAGGUUUUACUAUCACCUCUCUAUGGAUUUACUUCCCUCUCCCCUCCACCCCCAACUCCUCCCGCUGUUUGGUGCAUUUUUCAUGGGUAUGCUUUGUUGUUUUUGGGUUGUUUUGUUGCUAUUGUUGCUUGCAGCCACUGGAGAGUUCCCCUUCCUCUGGUUAAUGGCCCAUUACCCAGCUCUCGCCAUGCAGGGGUAGGGCCUGGGAAUUGCUGAGUUCUGGAAAAUCCUCCCGAGCAGGGAGAGCUUUGCCAACAACAAAAUCCUCUCUUUUCAGAGAGGACUCUGCAAAACGGGGUGGUGAGGGGGAACAGUCCCCUGCAGGAGGGAUGGGAGCAGAGCCCACUGGACCGUGGGGUGAUCGUGGCUGUGCCAUUGCUGCCUCCUGAAAACAGGUGCUGGCUGUGGGGGAGAGGGGGGAGAGGAGAGAGCUGGAUUGUUAAAGGAUUCAAUGAGCUGUGCCCAAUGUAUUCGAAAGGUGCUUAAGACAGGCAAAGCUCCUCACCAAACACGGGCGGCCAGGAAGCAGCACAGUGCACAUCUAAGCGGAGGGCAUGCACCAAGCCCACCGGUGUGGGGACUGCCCCACUGCCUCACUCACAUCGCCCCACGGAAACACGCUGUGCCACACACCAGCCAUGGAGAUACUGCUCCCACCCUCAAUCAGAAUGGUUUGAUGGGCCUGCCCUUGUGUCAUGUAAGGCUGAAAGUAUCUAAAGGGGGCUGUAAGAAAGAAGAGGACAGAUUCUUCAGCAGAGUCUGUUGUGAUGGGACAAGGGGAAAUGGUUUCAGUCUAAAAGAGGGGAGAUUUAGACUGGGCAUAAGGAAGAAGAUGGUGAGGCAAUGGCUCAGGUUGCCCGGAGAGGUGGUCGGUGCCACAUCCCUGGAGACAUCCAAGGUCGGGCUGGAUGAGGCUCUGAACACCUGAUGGAGCUGUAGGUGGCUCUGUUCAUUGCAAGGGAGUCGGACCAGAUUGUCUUUAAAAGUCCCUUCCAACUCAAACAACUCUAUGAUUCACAGUGUGAUGCCUGCCCUGGUCCUGCUUGUAGCUUGUAUCAGAUCAGCUUUAUACCCAGGGUGGUCUGGGACUCACAUGCAGGGUGGGAAGGAGCCUUCCCUGUCUGUCUUUUGGCUCAGAGAAAGACCUAAAAAAAGGUUCAGUGGAGAUUCUGGUGAAAAGGAUGUCUGCAGGCCCACCCGGACCGCGCUCCAGUCACUCCCAAGCAGUGAAUUCACCUAGCUGAAACUCUGGAGAAAGUGAAAAAAAUAAAUAUAGAGAGUCAGAAACUACCCUACCGACCGCUCGCGCUGUUUGACAUUAAAAAGUGCUGACAGCAGAGAGGGAGGAGAGGGAUGGAAGAAGGGCCACUUUCAUCUCAUACAGUCUCCUGCCAGCCCCAGCCACCACGUCUCCCUCUCACCCCCCUCCUGGCCCCUUGCUUUCCAAGGCAUUUUAUUAAAUAGGGUCACAGCCUGCAUUAGAGUCCCUCCCACAGCCCCGGCCAAAGGAAAACACUCUCCUGUCCCACUGACCCCCACCCGCCCAGAUCUCCGGCUCCAUGGCCGCUUUCCCCUGUCAAGAAGUGCGAUCCCCAUCCCACGGCAACCUUGAAGUUGCACAGCAAAACGUCAGGGCAGAGGGCUUCGGGGAGGGGGAAGGUCUCCCUCGUUUCUCUUUCUCUUACAUUAAUUAUCUCAUUCAGUUGAAAGAAAAGUCCAAAAAUUGAGCGUUCUCCUGGCAAUUUAUGAUGCUGGAGUGGUAAUUUAUGGCUCAAUACCACUUUACUUUACUCAUUCUUUACACGCACAUGCAGGUACACACACGUAUACUUACACUUAAGGAGACACUAACCUGAAUUUAUCACGCUAAAGUACCGGCCUGCUACAAGUAAAAGGAUGAACAUAAUUCACGAGGUAGGACAGGGAGGUGUGCACGUGUGGGGGGAAACGUUUAGAAGAGUUAAUGUUUGAAAGUUGGUCUUUGAAGGCAGAGGCUCCUCUGGAUAGAAAAAGAAAACCUAACUAAUUAAAACUGAUGUAUCAGUUUCAGAAGAAGAAUGUGCUGGUAACGAAACUGCACGGGCAAAAACAACAGAUUGAAGGGUUAGCCAUGGCAGCUGAUACACGGUCUGGGGAGAAGGUCCUGAUUUCAGCAUCAAAUUGUGGGGCUUGUGAUUUAACUCCCUGAGGCAGCAGCCAAAGAUUCCUCUCAAAGCAUCUGGGCCCUUUUGGGACACACGACUGGAGGCAGAAGCAGAUGUGGGUCAUCGGUAAGACUUGAGUCAUGGCCAUGGCAUGCCAACAAUGUGACCCAGUGCAGCUCUGGUUAGAGGAGGAGGAAGGGAAUGCCAUGCCACGGAUGUGCUGCUGGUUGUUUCAGGGGUAACCAGGCACCUUGGAUGGCCAAAGGAGAGGGCAUUCCUGCCCCAAAUGCUGGCCAACAGGACAGGCCGCAACAGGGAAAGAGCAGAAGCCACUUGUCUGGACAAUUUAGUGGCCCCGCAUAGCAUGACUGAUGCACUGCCAUUGAGGCUUUUUUGGGCAUCACAAGUCAAGUGGAAAAGGGUUUCAAGUGCACCUGGCUUGACAGUGCCUGAAUACCUGAAUUGGUGGGUGCUUAUCAACAAAUCUUAGCUUUCUCAGAUCCUUGCUCUUGCUGAGGCCUUCCAUGUUGGCACGCUGAUAUUUUUCCAGGCUGUACCACCUCCAGGGAAAAUGGGAAAAGGAAAUCCAGCAGGAACAUACUGUCUUCAUGGCUGCCUUUUCCAGUGUAUGGGUACCUGGGGGUACCUAUGUGAGCUCUCCUAGGGCCUCUCCAAGCCAACCCUCUUCUCCAAACCUCUGUGAUCCUCUGAAGUCCAGGAGAGAGGUCCUUCCAUACACCACAUCCAAGAAGAUUAAGGCAAUAAAUUCUGAGCAAAUAAGUAAUCUGAGACAAGAAACAAGUGUGAAGCAUCACAACUGCUAUUUGCUUUUCUUUUGUGCUCCCGAACUUCCCCAGCUUCAUAAAGCAUCUGUGUCUUUCAGCCACAGGACUCUUUCCGGUGACUUGGACCUGACUUGGACCUGGGUCGCAUAGCAAGCAAAUGCCAUUAAAUCGAUGUCAGCUGAGUGCCAGGUGAGCGCCCUGCAGCCAGGCAAUUCUUCUGCUCUGCUCUGGGGGACCUGCAGUCGAUUUGAUGGGGCACUGACUUUAACCUCAUCCCAUUGUCUUUGUACAGGACCAAGUGAACAGGUUCCUCUGUAUCUCUUAUUCCUUUUGCCCUUACAAACCCAAAGUACUGAAAACCACUAGGAUGGGAGGUUAAGUAUGAGGAUGGAGGAAAUCGGCAAUAAAUGACCUUUUGUUUAAAAAAUAUAAAUAAACAGCAGUAAGAAUCAUUGUUAGAAUGAUUUGAGAAACGCUCAUUACCCAGAAUGUGCCUUUCUGAAAACUGCUCAAGAAGGGAAUGCCCCUUUAAAGUGAUGUAGCUCUGAACCGGGCAAAAGUACACAAGGCUGUGUGUCCACCUACCCAGGAAAACAACAAAACCCCCAGCAGGUGAUCUGUAUGUAAACACAGCACACCCGCUCAGCCUGGUAGAGAAGGUGUUAUUUUUCUUACUGCUUUCUCUGUAGAUAUUGGCUUGUUCACAAAUCUUACAGCAACCCGCAGCUGUGGCAUUAAACAGGACGAAGGAGAGAGCGCGAAAUCCGGCUGCGUAAAUCAGGGACGCCGCCAGCGUCUGUGCUAACAGUUGAAGCUGGAAUCCUGGGGGGCCGGAGGGAAAGCUUAUAGAGGACGCACGUGCAGCGCAGUGACGGGAGUGAAGAGCCCUCAACAUUAACCAAAACUGGGGAAAAAACAUACUACAUGCGAGAUGGGAAGGGAUCUGUUUGCUUAGUUUAUUAACAAGGUCCAGGGGCGACUUGCUUCUGCACAUGCACUUCUUCCUAGGGAAGAAAUAUCAGGUACCGAAGAACUCUCUAAUCUCCCAGAGAAAGCCGUAACAAGAACUGACGGAUAAAUGCCGAAGCCAGACAAGUCCCAAUUAAAAAAUAAAGAAGGGAACUAUUUUUAUUUGCUUUAUUUUGUACAAGGAAGUCGGGGCAAUGAAGCAUUUGAGCCGGCUGUUACAGGAAGUGCUGGAGUCUCCCUGUCUCAGCCUCUUUGGAUAAAGACUUGUGUUCCUUCUGGGAGCACAGCUUGACUCACACAACUUAUUGUACGCUGCUCAGGGGCAGCAGGGUGAAUGUCUGUGGCCCACAUUACGCAGACAGUCCAAUAAAAUCAUCCGAAAAUGUUCUGUUUAAACUGUGUAAAGACUUUUAGCCUCUGCCUGUUUUACACUGAGGGCUUAAUUAAAAAAAAAAAAAUCAAAAUAAAAAAAUAAUAAAAAAAUCAGGAAUAUGAGAAUAAAAAUCCCCUCUGACUGAACAAUUAUUAAGAAAAAACAAAAAAAAAAAGGGAAUGGGAGGGAAUGUGCAGCAGCCACAGUGCAUGUGGGGCGGCCACGAUGGCGGGUGGCAGGACGGCACGGUCAGGGCUAUCCCCAGCACCGUGGCCCUUCAGGGAAGGGGCUGCUCAGGCUCCAUGGAGAAU